UUGGAGGGCAAGUCUGGUGCCAGCAGCCGCGGUAAUUCCAGCUCCAGUAGCGUAUAUUAAAGUUGUUGCAGUUAAAAAGCUCGUAGUUGAAUUUCGGGGUCAGUAGGUUGGUCAUGCCACUGGUAUGUACUGGUCUCACUGAUUCCUCCUUCCUGAUGAGCCGUAAUGCCAUUAAUUUGGUGUUGCGAGGAAUCUGGACUGUUACUUUGAAAAAAUUAGAGUGUUUAAAGCAAGCUAACGCUUGAAUACAUUAGCAUGGAAUAAUGAAAUAGGACGUUCGAUCCUAUUUUGUUGGUUUCUAGGAUUGACGUAAUGAUUAAUAGGGAUAGUUGGGGGCAUUAGUAUUCAAUUGUCAGAGGUGAAAUUCUUGGAUUCAUUGAAGACUAACUACUGCGAAAGCAUUUGCCAAGGAUGUUUUCAUUAAUCAAGAACGAAAGUUAGGGGAUCGAAGACGAUCAGAUACCGUCGUAGUCUUAACCAUAAACUAUGCCGACUAGGGAUCGGAUGAUGUUAAUUUUUUAAUGACUCAUUCGGCGCCUUACGGGAAACCAAAGUGUUUGGGUUC
Molecule: ribosomal RNA, 565 nt
Filed under: uncultured Glomeromycotina
Lineage: Eukaryota; Fungi; Glomeromycota
Description: SSU rRNA
Rfam family: Eukaryotic small subunit ribosomal RNA
Source: RNAcentral